AGGUGGCAUUGAAGGCCCUAAAAGGGGCAAGCAAGUGUUCUACGGUACGUGGAGUCUGGCGCUCAGUGCCCCCUAGAGGGCAACCACGUGCUGGUGCGAGCUACCUGGCGUUGAGGGCCCUAGAAAAGGGCAAUCAAGCGUGGUGCGUGAGCACUUAUGCCCAGGGUCCUGUUGGGGCAAAUCGGCAAGUGUAUCGAGUCGCACAAGCAAUAUAAAAUGGUAAGACCAUGUAUCGUAUCCCAGAGGACUCUCAGCGCUGAACAGUUGUGUGAAAACAAGAUUAAUUAAGACUUAAAAGAAAAGAGAUCAUAGGUUUGUAUUGCAAAAUAAUAAAAUAAAGCAAAGUAAAAUUGAUCAAUGGCAAAAGAGCACAAAGAUGAAUGGAGGUUGAUUUAUAUGAGAUGAGUAUGUUGUUGGGGUUAGACUUCACCACGUUCCCUCUCAUGUAUAUAAGAAUUCUUCUUUAUUCAUUAAUG
Molecule: long non-coding RNA, 476 nt
Filed under: Vigna radiata
Lineage: Eukaryota; Viridiplantae; Streptophyta; Magnoliopsida; Fabales; Fabaceae
Description: long non-coding RNA (VRAD_LNC003539)
Source: RNAcentral